UAAGGGAUUGCCGAAAACCUGAAAUAGAGUAGGCA
This is a non-coding RNA of Chitinophagaceae bacterium, 35 nucleotides long. The record is from Rfam. NCBI's taxonomy places the organism in Bacteria, Pseudomonadati, Bacteroidota, Chitinophagia, Chitinophagales, Chitinophagaceae.